AUGAGGCACUCUCUGGAAAAAUUCCGUUUCUCUUAUGAGUCCAAGAAGCUCCAUCUGAUGGACUAUGAUGAGCGUGUGCUGCCAUCUAUUACUACAGAGAUCCUCAAGUCGGUGGUGGCUCGCUUUGAUGCUGGAGAGCUAAUCACCCAGAGAGAGCUCGUCUCCAGGCAGGUGAGCGAUGACCUUACGGAGCGAGCAGCAACCUUUGGGCUCAUCCUGGAUGAUGUUUCCUUGACACAUCUGACCUUCGGGAAGGAGUUCACAGAAGCAGUGGAAGCCAAACAGGUGGCUCAACAGGAAGCAGAGAGGGCCAGAUUUGUGGUGGAAAAGGCUGAGCAGCAGAAAAAGGCAGCCAUCAUCUCUGCUGAGGGGGACUCCAAGGCAGCAGAGCUGAUUGCCAACUCACUGGCCACAGCGGGUGAUGGCCUGAUCGAGCUCCGCAAGCUGGAGGCUGCAGAGGACAUUGCAUUCCAGCUGUCGCGCUCUCGGAACAUCACCUACCUGCCAGCAGGGCAGUCUGUGCUCCUCCAGCUGCCCCAGUGAGGGCCUGCCCUGCCUGUACUCCUCAAGCCAACUGGGCCACAGCCCUGAUGAUGAUUAACACCACCUCCCUUCUGCCCCCACCCAGAAAUCACUGUGAAAUCUCAUGAUUGGCUUAAAGUGAAGGAAAUAAAAGUAAAAAUCACUUCAGA
Molecule: RNA transcript, 692 nt
Organism: Otolemur garnettii (small-eared galago)
Lineage: Eukaryota; Metazoa; Chordata; Mammalia; Primates; Galagidae
Gene name: prohibitin pseudogene
Exons: 2
Source: RefSeq, a predicted model, not a curated record